ACGCUCGACACCUACGGGAGGCAGCAGUGGGGAAUAUUGCACAAUGGGGGAAACCCUGAUGCAGCAACGCCGCGUGAGUGAAGAAGUAUUUCGGUAUGUAAGGCUCUAUCAGCAGGGAAGAUAAUGACGGUACCUGACUAAGAAGCUCCGGCUAAAUACGUGCCAGUAGCCGCGGUAAUCUGAGCGGGCUGGCAAGGC
RNAcentral lists this ribosomal RNA (198 nucleotides) under uncultured bacterium. RNAcentral describes it as "partial 16S ribosomal RNA". It matches the Rfam family "Bacterial small subunit ribosomal RNA", at positions 328 to 539 of the family's 1533-position model. The record is from RNAcentral.